AUUGAAGAGUUUGAUCAUGGCUCAGAUUGAACGCUGGCGGCAGGCCUAACACAUGCAAGUCGAACGGUAACAGGAAGCAGCUUGCUGCUUCGCUGACGAGUGGCGGACGGGUGAGUAAUGUCUGGGAAACUGCCUGAUGGAGGGGGAUAACUACUGGAAACGGUGGCUAAUACCGCAUAACGUCGCAAGACCAAAGAGGGGGACCUUCGGGCCUCUUGCCAUCAGAUGUGCCCAGAUGGGAUUAGCUAGUUGGUGAGGUAACGGCUCACCAAGGCGACGAUCCCUAGCUGGUCUGAGAGGAUGACCAGCCACACUGGAACUGAGACACGGUCCAGACUCCUACGGGAGGCAGCAGUGGGGAAUAUUGCACAAUGGGCGCAAGCCUGAUGCAGCCAUGCCGCGUGUAUGAAGAAGGCCUUCGGGUUGUAAAGUACUUUCAGCGGGGAGG
RNAcentral lists this ribosomal RNA (448 nucleotides) under Salmonella enterica subsp. enterica serovar Newport. RNAcentral's name for it is "bacterial SSU rRNA". It matches the Rfam family "Bacterial small subunit ribosomal RNA", at positions 1 to 447 of the family's 1533-position model. The record is from RNAcentral. Lineage: Bacteria; Pseudomonadati; Pseudomonadota; Gammaproteobacteria; Enterobacterales; Enterobacteriaceae.